GUGGGGAAUCUUGCGCAAUGGGCGAAAGCCUGACGCAGCCAUGCCGCGUGAAUGAUGAAGGUCUUAGGAUUGUAAAAUUCUUUCACCGGGGACGAUAAUGACGGUACCCGGAGAAGAAGCCCCGGCUAACUUCGUGCCAGCAGCCGCGGUAAUACGAAGGGGGCUAGCGUUGCUCGGAAUUACUGGGCGUAAAGGGCGCGUAGGCGGAUCGUUAAGUCAGGGGUGAAAUCCCAGAGCUCAACUCUGGAACUGCCCUUGAUACUGGCGAUCUUGAGUGUGAGAGAGGUAUGUGGAACUCCGAGUGUAGAGGUGAAAUUCGUAGAUAUUCGGAAGAACACCAGUGGCGAAGGCGACAUACUGGCUCAUUACUGGCGCUGAGGCGCGAAAGCGUGGGGAGCAAACAGGAUUAGAUACCCGUGUAGUCC
This 425-nucleotide ribosomal RNA is filed under the name uncultured bacterium. Its description in RNAcentral is "partial 16S ribosomal RNA". It matches the Rfam family "Bacterial small subunit ribosomal RNA", at positions 354 to 796 of the family's 1533-position model. The record is from RNAcentral.